UCCCUGAUAACUGAGUUGGUAAAGAAUCUGCCUGCAAUGCAGGAGAUCCCAGUUUGAUUUCUGGGUUGGGAAG
Ovis aries (sheep) is the source of this 73-nucleotide non-coding RNA. The record is from Rfam. Lineage: Eukaryota; Metazoa; Chordata; Mammalia; Artiodactyla; Bovidae.